AAAAAGACAAACCCUGAGUUUUCGUGUCCAACGUUUGACUGUUCGUUUUAUAUAAAUUUUUUUUAUAAUUAGUAUUUUCAUUGUUGUUAGAUGAUAAAACAUGUUUAAUAUUUUAUGCGUGACUUGUCUUUUUAAUUUUUUCAUAUUUUUUUCAAAUAAGACGGACGGUCAAACGUUGAACAUGGAAACCCAGGUUUGUUUUUUUU
Molecule: non-coding RNA, 206 nt
Organism: Oryza glaberrima (African rice)
Lineage: Eukaryota; Viridiplantae; Streptophyta; Magnoliopsida; Poales; Poaceae
Source: Rfam